This 435-nucleotide ribosomal RNA is filed under the name uncultured bacterium. RNAcentral describes it as "bacterial SSU rRNA". It matches the Rfam family "Bacterial small subunit ribosomal RNA", at positions 57 to 537 of the family's 1533-position model. The record is from RNAcentral.
GCAAGUCGAACGAAGUAGCAAUACUUAGUGGCAGACGGGUGAGUAACAUGUGGGUAUCUACCCUUUGGCCUGGAAUAACACGAGGAAACUUGUGCUAAUACCGGAUAAGUCUUUACGGAGAAAGCUUUAUGCACCAUUGGAUGAGCCCGCACUUGAUUAGUUUGUUGGUAGGGUAAUGGCCUACCAAGACUAUGAUCAAUAGCUGAUUUGAGAGGAUGAUCAGCCACAUUGGGACUGAGACACGGCCCAAACUCCUACGGGAGGCAGCAGUGGGGAAUCUUGCACAAUGGAGGAAACUCUGAUGCAGCGAUGCCGCGUGAGUGAAGAAGGCCUUUGGGUUGUAAAGCUCUUUCGUCGGGGAAGAAAAUGACUGUACCCGAAUAAGAAGGUCCGGCUAACUUCGUGCCAGCAGCCGCGGUAAUACGGAGGGGGUUA